Molecule: ribosomal RNA, 510 nt
Filed under: uncultured Paraglomus
Lineage: Eukaryota; Fungi; Glomeromycota; Glomeromycetes; Paraglomerales; Paraglomeraceae
Description: SSU rRNA
Rfam family: Eukaryotic small subunit ribosomal RNA
Source: RNAcentral
AGCAGCCGCGGUAAUUCCAGCUCCAAUAGCGCAUAUUAAAGUUGUUGUGGUUAAAAAGCUCGUAGUUGAACCUUGGGCCUGGCUGGCCGGUCCGCCUCACCGCGUGUACUGGUCCGGCCGGGCCUUUCCCUCUGUGGAACCCCAUGCCCUUCACUGGGUGUGGCGGGGAAACAGGACUUUUACUUUGAAAAAAUUAGAGUGCUCCAGGCAGGCCUAUGCUCGAAUACAUUAGCAUGGAAUAAUAGAAUAGGACGUGUGGUUCUAUUUUGUUGGUUUCUAGGACCGCCGUAAUGAUUAAUAGGGACAGUCGGGGGCAUCAGUAUUCAAUUGUCAGAGGUGAAAUUCUUGGAUUUAUUGAAGACUAACUACUGCGAAAGCAUUUGCCAAGGAUGUUUUCAUUAAUCAGGAACGAAAGUUAGGGGAUCGAAGACGAUCAGAUACCGUCGUAGUCUUAACCAUAAACUAUGCCGACUAGGGAUCGGACGAUGUUAUUUUUGACUCGUUCGGCAC